Molecule: transfer RNA, 83 nt
Filed under: bacterium
Lineage: Bacteria
Description: tRNA-Tyr
Rfam family: tRNA
About the family: Transfer RNA (tRNA) molecules are approximately 80 nucleotides in length. Their secondary structure includes four short double-helical elements and three loops (D, anti-codon, and T loops).
Source: RNAcentral
GCUGGGAUAGCGAAGCGGCCAAACGCACCUGGCUGUAAACCAGGCGACUUAUGUCUUCGGGGGUUCGAAUCCCUCUCCCAGCA